RNAcentral lists this ribosomal RNA (1089 nucleotides) under Triticum aestivum (bread wheat). RNAcentral describes it as "partial small subunit ribosomal RNA". The record is from RNAcentral. Lineage: Eukaryota; Viridiplantae; Streptophyta; Magnoliopsida; Poales; Poaceae.
AUGUACUACUUUGAUAAUCCAGAGAAAACCCCAUUCAAUUUGGUAAUGGGAGUAACGUUGGAUCAACGUGAAUACUUUAGGGAUUAUCGCUUGACACAAAAAGGGAAACUAUUAUGGGAUCAAAUUUAUAUUUUGAAGUGGUAUGCUCGGCAAGUAUGCUUGAGUUAUGAUUAUACUUGUUGCUCUAGGAUGAAGGCUCCACACCUCCCCUUUUCAUGCAAAUUUAAUGAUAAUGAAACCUUAGCUUCUUAUGCUAAUGGUAUAUAUGAUUACUAUGAUGUUGAACAAAUUGAAGAAUUUGUUGCUUUUAAGGGUGCUUAUGAAAUUGAAUCUUUGUUUGAAAAGUAUGAAGCUUUUGAUGAUGAUGUUUAUAGGCCUGAAAAUUUUGCUAUAUUGAAAUAUUGCUAUGAUAAUUAUGAAUAUAAUUCCUAUAUUGAUGCGCUUAUUGAGAAAGUCUCCGCUGUCCAAGAAGAGACUAAUAUUUUGCAGGAGACUAUGGAAGAAGAAAUUGAUGAAACUGUGAGCUCAUUGGAUGAAAAAGAUGAUGAGGAGAGCGAAGAACAAAAGGGGGGAGAGCGGACUAGCUACCCGUGCCCACCUUCUAAUGAGAGUAACUCUUCAACUCAUACAUUGUUUAAUUUCCCUUCGUGCUUACCGAAGGAUGAUUGCUAUGAUGAUUGUUAUGAUCCCGUUGAUUCUCUUGAAAUAUCCCUUUUUGAUGAUGCUUGCUAUGCUUGUGGCCAAGAUGCCAAUAUGAAUUAUGCUUAUGGAGAUGAACUUGCUAUAGUUCCUUAUGUUAAACAUGAAAUUGUUGCUAUUGCACCCACACAUGAUAGUCCUAUUAUCUUUUUGAAUUCUCCCGACUACACUAUAUCGGAGAAGUUUGCACUUAUUAAGGAUUACAUUGAUGGGUUGCCUUUUACCGUUGCACAUGAUGAUUUUGAUGAAUAUAAUAUGCAUGUGCUUGCUGCUCCUACUUGCAAUUAUUAUGAGAGAGGAACUAUAUCUCCACCUCUCUAUGUUUCCAACACGAUAAAAAUUGCAAGAAACUGUUUAUACUAUGCAUUGGCCUUUACUAUGUGUGCAUGA